AGAGUUUGAUCAUGGCUCAGAUUGAACGCUGGCGGCAGGCCUAACACAUGCAAGUCGAGCGGUAGCACAGAAGAGCUUGCUCUUUGGGUGACGAGCGGCGGACGGGUGAGUAAUGUCUGGGAAACUGCCUGAUGGAGGGGGAUAACUACUGGAAACGGUAGCUAAUACCGCAUAACCUCGCAAGAGCAAAGAGGGGGACCUUCGGGCCUCUCGCCAUCAGAUGUGCCCAGAUGGGAUUAGCUAGUAGGUGAGGUAAUGGCUCACCUAGGCGACGAUCCCUAGCUGGUCUGAGAGGAUGACCAGCCACACUGGAACUGAGACACGGUCCAGACUCCUACGGGAGGCAGCAGUGGGGAAUAUUGCACAAUGGGCGCAAGCCUGAUGCAGCCAUGCCGCGUGUGUGAAGAAGGCCUUCGGGUUGUAAAGCACUUUCAGCGGGGAGGAAGGCGGUAAGGUUAAUAACCUUAUCGAUUGACGUUACCCGCAGAAGAAGCACCGGCUAACUCCGUGCCAGCAGCCGCGGUAAUACGGAGGGUGCAAGCGUUAAUCGGAAUGACUGGGCGUAAAGCGCACGCAGGCGGUCUGUUAAGUUGGAUGUGAAAUCCCCGGGCUUAACCUGGGAACUGCAUUCAAAACUGACAGGCUAGAGUCUUGUAGAGGGGGGUAGAAUUCCAGGUGUAGCGGUGAAAUGCGUAGAGAUCUGGAGGAAUACCGGUGGCGAAGGCGGCCCCCUGGACAAAGACUGACGCUCAGGUGCGAAAGCGUGGGGAGCAAACAGGAUUAGAUACCCUGGUAGUCCACGCUGUAAACGAUGUCGAUUUGGAGGUUGUGCCCUUGAGGCGUGGCUUCCGGAGCUAACGCGUUAAAUCGACCGCCUGGGGAGUACGGCCGCAAGGUUAAAACUCAAAUGAAUUGACGGGGGCCCGCACAAGCGGUGGAGCAUGUGGUUUAAUUCGAUGCAACGCGAAGAACCUUACCUACUCUUGACAUCCAGAGAACUUAGCAGAGAUGCUUUGGUGCCUUCGGGAACUCUGAGACAGGUGCUGCAUGGCUGUCGUCAGCUCGUGUUGUGAAAUGUUGGGUUAAGUCCCGCAACGAGCGCAACCCUUAUCCUUUGUUGCCAGCGAUUCGGUCGGGAACUCAAAGGAGACUGCCGGUGAUAAACCGGAGGAAGGUGGGGAUGACGUCAAGUCAUCAUGGCCCUUACGAGUAGGGCUACACACGUGCUACAAUGGCGUAUACAAAGAGAAGCGACCUCGCGAGAGCAAGCGGACCUCAUAAAGUACGUCGUAGUCCGGAUUGGAGUCUGCAACUCGACUCCAUGAAGUCGGAAUCGCUAGUAAUCGUAGAUCAGAAUGCUACGGUGAAUACGUUCCCGGGCCUUGUACACACCGCCCGUCACACCAUGGGAGUGGGUUGCAAAAGAAGUAGGUAGCUUAACCUUCGGGAGGGCGCUUACCACUUUGUGAUUCAUGACUGGGGUGAAGUCGUAACAAGGUAACCGUAGGGGAACCUGCGGUUGGAUCACCU
This 1530-nucleotide ribosomal RNA is filed under the name Pectobacterium brasiliense. Its description in RNAcentral is "bacterial SSU rRNA". It matches the Rfam family "Bacterial small subunit ribosomal RNA". Lineage: Bacteria; Pseudomonadati; Pseudomonadota; Gammaproteobacteria; Enterobacterales; Pectobacteriaceae. The record is from RNAcentral.